GACGAACGCUGGCGGCGUGCUUAACACAUGCAAGUCGAACGGAAAGGCCCUGCUUUUGUGGGGUGCUCGAGUGGCGAACGGGUGAGUAACACGUGAGUAACCUGCCCUUGACUUUGGGAUAACUUCAGGAAACUGGGGCUAAUACCGGAUAGGAGCUCCUGCUGCAUGGUGGGGGUUGGAAAGUUUCGGCGGUUGGGGAUGGACUCGCGGCUUAUCAGCUUGUUGGUGGGGUAGUGGCUUACCAAGGCUUUGACGGGUAGCCGGCCUGAGAGGGUGACCGGCCACAUUGGAACUGAGAUACGGCCCAGCCUCCUACGGGAGGCAGCAGUGGGGAAUAUUGCACAAUGGGCGGAAGCCUGAUGCAGCGACGCCGCGUGCGGGAUGACGGCCUUCGGGUUGUAAACCGCUUUCGCCUGUGACGAAGCGUGAGUGACGGUAAUGGGUAAAGAAGCACCGGCUAACUACGUG
Molecule: ribosomal RNA, 468 nt
Filed under: uncultured bacterium
Lineage: Bacteria
Description: partial 16S ribosomal RNA
Rfam family: Bacterial small subunit ribosomal RNA
Source: RNAcentral